RNAcentral lists this long non-coding RNA (359 nucleotides) under Elaeis guineensis (African oil palm). Its description in RNAcentral is "long non-coding RNA (EGUI_LNC071753)". Lineage: Eukaryota; Viridiplantae; Streptophyta; Magnoliopsida; Arecales; Arecaceae. The record is from RNAcentral.
AUGGCGGUUGGUCGAAGGGUAUUGAGGAGAGAGCUAAGGAGAGAGCAGAGAAGGAGGGACCGUCUUCACCUCCUUAUGAUUACAGAGCAUCUCCUGAUAUUCAGUUCGUAUCUGAUCACGAGGCUGGUCCCUCAGAGUCAGUGAGGAGGCAUGCUUCAGUUUCACAGUCAGAGAGUAGGGUACAUCCUUCAGAGUUCAGACUUGCAGAUGAUCGAUUGAGUUGAUAUCCUAACGUGUUGCCUCCAUUUUAUCUCAGCAGUUUGCCACCUCAGUUUUUACUCAGAGGUCGACAUCUCAACAUAACUCAGACUAGACUUUGAUCUCUUAUAUCUCUACUAUCUUUCAGAUGCUUACAGCUC